ACACAUCUGAAAUAUCCUCUCGAUACAGGAAAGUUUCAACGAUCUCUUCGUGGACACCAUGACGCCUCUACGUUUCGCUGUUGUCUUCGUCCUCCUCUUUGGUGUAUCUGUCGCCAGUGAAGCUGCACCUGAAGGACACGAGCUUGAACGUCGUCAAAUUGACAUCGAGCUCUGCGUUUGUAUUCCGAUUGUUACCAAUUGCAAUGGCAAAUGUACAAGGAAAAGCAACUGCUUGGACUGCUACCUUGGAUGAACAACAUGGCUGACCGGCAACCUUUAACUACGAAAUGAUCAUUCGCACGUAUACGAAAUAAGAGACCCUGGUAUUCUCUUUUACCAACAUGAUCUUGGGUGGCGGGAACUUUUCGGGGAAAUAAAUUGUACUAAGCAGCA
This is a long non-coding RNA of Ornithodoros turicata, 393 nucleotides long. RefSeq lists it as uncharacterized. The record is from RefSeq and is a predicted model, not a curated record. The transcript is spliced from 4 exons. NCBI's taxonomy places the organism in Eukaryota, Metazoa, Arthropoda, Arachnida, Ixodida, Argasidae.